RNAcentral lists this ribosomal RNA (1687 nucleotides) under Escherichia coli. RNAcentral describes it as "partial 23S ribosomal RNA". It matches the Rfam family "Bacterial large subunit ribosomal RNA", at positions 1270 to 2925 of the family's 2925-position model. Lineage: Bacteria; Pseudomonadati; Pseudomonadota; Gammaproteobacteria; Enterobacterales; Enterobacteriaceae. The record is from RNAcentral.
AUGCUGGAGGUAUCAGAAGUGCGAAUGCUGACAUAAGUAACGAUAAAGCGGGUGAAAAGCCCGCUCGCCGGAAGACCAAGGGUUCCUGUCCAACGUUAAUCGGGGCAGGGUGAGUCGACCCCUAAGGCGAGGCCGAAAGGCGUAGUCGAUGGGAAACAGGUUAAUAUUCCUGUACUUGGUGUUACUGCGAAGGGGGGACGGAGAAGGCUAUGUUGGCCGGGCGACGGUUGUCCCGGUUUAAGCGUGUAGGCUGGUUUUCCAGGCAAAUCCGGAAAAUCAAGGCUGAGGCGUGAUGACGAGGCACUACGGUGCUGAAGCAACAAAUGCCCUGCUUCCAGGAAAAGCCUCUAAGCAUCAGGUAACAUCAAAUCGUACCCCAAACCGACACAGGUGGUCAGGUAGAGAAUACCAAGGCGCUUGAGAGAACUCGGGUGAAGGAACUAGGCAAAAUGGUGCCGUAACUUCGGGAGAAGGCACGCUGAUAUGUAGGUGAAGUCCCUCGCGGAUGGAGCUGAAAUCAGUCGAAGAUACCAGCUGGCUGCAACUGUUUAUUAAAAACACAGCACUGUGCAAACACGAAAGUGGACGUAUACGGUGUGACGCCUGCCCGGUGCCGGAAGGUUAAUUGAUGGGGUUAGCGCAAGCGAAGCUCUUGAUCGAAGCCCCGGUAAACGGCGGCCGUAACUAUAACGGUCCUAAGGUAGCGAAAUUCCUUGUCGGGUAAGUUCCGACCUGCACGAAUGGCGUAAUGAUGGCCAGGCUGUCUCCACCCGAGACUCAGUGAAAUUGAACUCGCUGUGAAGAUGCAGUGUACCCGCGGCAAGACGGAAAGACCCCGUGAACCUUUACUAUAGCUUGACACUGAACAUUGAGCCUUGAUGUGUAGGAUAGGUGGGAGGCUUUGAAGUGUGGACGCCAGUCUGCAUGGAGCCGACCUUGAAAUACCACCCUUUAAUGUUUGAUGUUCUAACGUUGACCCGUGAUCCGGGUUGCGGACAGUGUCUGGUGGGUAGUUUGACUGGGGCGGUCUCCUCCUAAAGAGUAACGGAGGAGCACGAAGGUUGGCUAAUCCUGGUCGGACAUCAGGAGGUUAGUGCAAUGGCAUAAGCCAGCUUGACUGCGAGCGUGACGGCGCGAGCAGGUGCGAAAGCAGGUCAUAGUGAUCCGGUGGUUCUGAAUGGAAGGGCCAUCGCUCAACGGAUAAAAGGUACUCCGGGGAUAACAGGCUGAUACCGCCCAAGAGUUCAUAUCGACGGCGGUGUUUGGCACCUCGAUGUCGGCUCAUCACAUCCUGGGGCUGAAGUAGGUCCCAAGGGUAUGGCUGUUCGCCAUUUAAAGUGGUACGCGAGCUGGGUUUAGAACGUCGUGAGACAGUUCGGUCCCUAUCUGCCGUGGGCGCUGGAGAACUGAGGGGGGCUGCUCCUAGUACGAGAGGACCGGAGUGGACGCAUCACUGGUGUUCGGGUUGUCAUGCCAAUGGCACUGCCCGGUAGCUAAAUGCGGAAGAGAUAAGUGCUGAAAGCAUCUAAGCACGAAACUUGCCCCGAGAUGAGUUCUCCCUGACUCCUUGAGAGUCCUGAAGGAACGUUGAAGACGACGACGUUGAUAGGCCGGGUGUGUAAGCGCAGCGAUGCGUUGAGCUAACCGGUACUAAUGAACCGUGAGGCUUAACCUUACAACGCCGAAG